GACGAACGCUGGCGGCGUGCUUAACACAUGCAAGUCGAACGGAAAGGCCCUGCUUUUGUGGGGUGCUCGAGUGGCGAACGGGUGAGUAACACGUGAGUAACCUGCCCUUGACUUUGGGAUAACUUCAGGAAACUGGGGCUAAUACCGGGUAGGAGCUCCUGCUGCAUGGUGGGGGUUGGAAAGUUUCGGCGGUUGGGGAUGGACUCGCGGCUUAUCAGCUUGUUGGUGGGGUAGUGGCUUACCAAGGCUUUGACGGGUAGCCGGCCUGAGAGGGUGACCGGCCACAUUGGGACUGAGAUACGGCCCAGACUCCUACGGGAGGCAGCAGUGGGGAAUAUUGCACAAUGGGCGGAAGCCUGAUGCAGCAACGCCGCGUGCGGGAAGACGGCCUUCGGGUUGUAAACCGCUUUCGCCUGUGACGAAGCGUGAGUGACGGUAAUGGGUAAAGAAGCACCGGCUAACUACGUG
RNAcentral lists this ribosomal RNA (468 nucleotides) under uncultured bacterium. RNAcentral's name for it is "partial 16S ribosomal RNA". It matches the Rfam family "Bacterial small subunit ribosomal RNA", at positions 28 to 507 of the family's 1533-position model. The record is from RNAcentral.